GAAAGGCCGGGUAAUACCAGAUGAUAUACCUUUAUCGCAUGAUAGAGGUCUCAAAGGUCCGCCGGUCUGGGAGCAGGCGAUUUCGUAUCAGCUAGUUGGUGAGGUAACGGCUCACCAAGGCGACGACGCGUAGCCGGACUGAGAGGUUGGCCGGCCACAUUGGGACUGAGACACUGCCCAGACUCCUACGGGGGGCUGCAGUAACGAAUCUUCCGCAAUGCACGAAAGUGUGACGGAGCGACGCCGCGUGUGGGACGAAGCCCUUCGGGGUGUAAACCACUGUCAGAGGAAAGAAAGUUCUGAUCUACCUCAGAGGAAGAGGCGGCUAACUCUGUGCCAGCAGCCGCGGUAAUACAGAGGCCUCGAGCGUUAGGCGGAAUCACUGGGCUUAAAGCGUGUGUAGGCGGACUUCUAAGUACCUUGUGAAAUCCCACGGCUUACCCGUGGAACUGCUGGGUAUACUGGUUGUCUUGAGCCAUCUAGGGGCUACCGGAACAAAUGGUGGAGCGGUGAAAUGCGUAGAUAUCAUUUGGAACGCCAAUGGUGAAAACAGGUAGCUGGGGAUGUGCUGACGCUGAGACACGAAAGCCAGGGGAGCGAACGGGAUUAGAUACCCCGGUAGUCCUGGCCGUAAACGAUGUCGACUAGAUCGCGGUACCUCUGACGGUUUCACGGUCGAAGCAAAAGUGCUAAGUCGACCGCCUGGGAAGUACGGUCGCAAGGCUAAAACUCAAAGGAAUUGACGG
This 746-nucleotide ribosomal RNA is filed under the name uncultured bacterium. Its description in RNAcentral is "bacterial SSU rRNA". It matches the Rfam family "Bacterial small subunit ribosomal RNA", at positions 153 to 916 of the family's 1533-position model. The record is from RNAcentral.